This 253-nucleotide ribosomal RNA is filed under the name uncultured bacterium. Its description in RNAcentral is "partial 16S ribosomal RNA". It matches the Rfam family "Bacterial small subunit ribosomal RNA", at positions 524 to 776 of the family's 1533-position model. The record is from RNAcentral.
UACGUAGGGUGCAAGCGUUAAUCGGAAUUACUGGGCGUAAAGCGUGCGCAGGCGGCUUUGCAAGACAGGUGUGAAAGCCCCGAGCUUAACUUGGGAAUUGCGCUUGUGACUGGCGUGCUGGAGUGUGGCAGAGGGAGGUGGAAUUCCACGUGUAGCAGUGAAAUGCGUAGAGAUGUGGAGGAACACCGAUGGCGAAGGCAGCCUCCUGGGCCAGCACUGACGCUCAUGCACGAAAGCGUGGGGAGCAAACAGG